GUCCAUCAACAAGAUUAAACAACCCAGUCUCGUCCAUGUUGAAGACCUGCUCUGGCUUGUAUCCCUUCUCCCCAAUGAGUUUCUUAAAGGCCUCAGGAUACUUUGCUGCAGCUUCUGUGUCUGCAGAUGCAGCUUCUCCAUGGGAUUUUCCAAAUCGUAGUUGGUAACGUUUCAGGAAACGAUCGAACCAACCCUUGCUAGCAUGAAAUUCUUUGGCAUCAGCUGCUGUUGAUGGUCCUGUUUGUCCUUCAGUGAAUUGAGAAUAUAAUUUCAAUGCC
This is a long non-coding RNA of Limulus polyphemus (Atlantic horseshoe crab), 278 nucleotides long. RefSeq lists it as uncharacterized. The record is from RefSeq and is a predicted model, not a curated record. The transcript has 3 exons. Lineage: Eukaryota; Metazoa; Arthropoda; Merostomata; Xiphosura; Limulidae.